GUACUCACUUCGGCAGCACAUAAACUAAAAUCGGAAUGAUACAGAGAAGUUUAGCAUGGCCCCUGAGCAAGGAUGACAUGCAAAUUCAUGAAGCGUUCCAUAUUUUU
Fukomys damarensis (Damara mole-rat) is the source of this 107-nucleotide small nuclear RNA. The record is from Ensembl. NCBI's taxonomy places the organism in Eukaryota, Metazoa, Chordata, Mammalia, Rodentia, Bathyergidae.